AAAACUAACAAAUUAAAACUGGUAAACCAAUACAUUGAAGAUGGAAACCAUUACUAAACAUUUUUUCUGAAUUGUUUUUGAACUAAUGUACGAAAAAGCUAACAGGAUACUAACUACAAUAAACGUGAACUGUGCUACUAACCUAAUAGAAUGUCGAAGGCUCAUAUGAAACUGAGAAUUAUCAGUUUAUACAGUCCAUUACAAAUAAACUAAAGUGACGAAUUCAUCCAACGAAUUACAGAACUAACUACAGUUUAAUGAACUAGUAAAGCAUUAAAAGACAACAAGUAUCAAUCAGAAGCUGCAUUUCCAUUUCAGUGGAGUAACUACAUCAGAUGGAAUCCAGAAGAUGUACCUGGAAACCGAGUUAUAUAAGAAGAAGAAGAAGAAGAUGAAGAAGAAGAAGAAGAAGAAGAAGAAGAAGAAGAAGAAGAAGGUCAAGAAUAUUUUCGCAGGAAAACUAUUCCAAACACAGCAACAGCAGAUAUAGUAGCAAUAGUCAGCAACAAGAAUGAUUCAAACCCAAAUCAACCAGGAAAUGUCAACAGGAAAACCAACCACAACAACAAAUGAUCCAAAUAAACUUGAAUAACAACACAAUGACUCAACAGGCACCCAAGCUCCUUCGAAAUUGAACUUAACUAUUUUUGAACAGUCAUUAAUGUAAAACUGACCAAAAAUCUACUCAAGCAGACCUCAAAUCCUUUCCAACCAGUUACCAAAUAACUCUGAAUGCCUUUGACAAACUUAGAAGUAGAGCAGAAAGGGGGGAGAUUCAGGUAAAACUUGAAAAUGAACUCAACUAGCAAUGAAACAAUAAAGUUUGAAUUUUGGUUUUUUAGAGAUUUUCUAUUGUUUUUGAGUUUUUGAAUGCUUAAAUUUUCAAAACUAGAUCUGGAACUCAAGGAGAGUUUUUUGGGGAUUUAUCUUGCUGAUAAAAAAAAGACCCUUAGCAAAGCAAUUUUGAUGCCCUUUUAUAAGCAAGUAAGGUGAGUGAU
This 998-nucleotide long non-coding RNA is filed under the name Nicotiana benthamiana. RNAcentral's name for it is "long non-coding RNA (NBEN_LNC007787)". The record is from RNAcentral. Lineage: Eukaryota; Viridiplantae; Streptophyta; Magnoliopsida; Solanales; Solanaceae.